Molecule: ribosomal RNA, 487 nt
Filed under: uncultured bacterium
Lineage: Bacteria
Description: bacterial SSU rRNA
Rfam family: Bacterial small subunit ribosomal RNA
Source: RNAcentral
GAUGAACGCUAGCGGGAGGCUUAACACAUGCAAGUCGAGGGGCAGCAUAGGGUAGCAAUACUCUGAUGGCGACCGGCAAACGGGUGAGUAACGCGUAUGCAACCUACCCUGUACAGGGGGAUAACCCGGAGAAAUUCGGACUAAUAUCCCGUAAUAAUAUCCGGAGGCAUCUUUGGAUAUUUAAAGUUCCGACGGUACGGGAUGGGCAUGCGUAAUAUUAACUGGUUGGUAAGGUAACGGCUUACCAAGGCUAUGAUGUUUAGGGGUCCUGAGAGGGUGGUCCCCCACACUGGUACUGAGACACGGACCAGACUCCUACGGGAGGCAGCAGUGAGGAAUAUUGGUCAAUGGGCGCAAGCCUGAACCAGCCAUCCCGCGUGCAGGAAGACGGCCCUAUGGGUUGUAAACUGCUUUUCCAGGGAGAGAAACUUACGCACGUGUUGCGUGACUGACGGUACCCUGGGAAUAAGCAUCGGCUAACUCCGUG